This 170-nucleotide ribosomal RNA is filed under the name uncultured Alphaproteobacteria bacterium. RNAcentral describes it as "partial 16S ribosomal RNA". It matches the Rfam family "Bacterial small subunit ribosomal RNA", at positions 338 to 525 of the family's 1533-position model. Lineage: Bacteria; Pseudomonadati; Pseudomonadota; Alphaproteobacteria. The record is from RNAcentral.
CCUACGGGAGGCAGCAGUGGGGAAUCUUGGACAAUGGAGGAAACCCUGAUCCAGCAAUGCCGCGUGAGUGAAGAAGGCCCUUGGGUUGUAAAGCUCUUUCACCCGUGAAGAAAAUGACUGUACCCGAAUAAGAAGGCCCGGCUAACUCCGUGCCAGCAGCCGCGGUAAUA